This 455-nucleotide ribosomal RNA is filed under the name uncultured bacterium. Its description in RNAcentral is "bacterial SSU rRNA". It matches the Rfam family "Bacterial small subunit ribosomal RNA", at positions 340 to 786 of the family's 1533-position model. The record is from RNAcentral.
UACGGGAGGCAGCAGCGGGGAAUAUUGCACAAUGGGCGCAAGCCUGAUGCAGCCAUGCCGCGUGUAUGAAGAAGGCCUUCGGGUUGUAAAGUACUUUCAGCGGGGAGGAAGGCGAUGCGGUUAAUAACCGCGUCGAUUGACGUUACCCGCAGAAGAAGCACCGGCUAACUCCGUGCCAGCAGCCGCGGUAAUACGGAGGGUGCAAGCGUUAAUCGGAAUUACUGGGCGUAAAGCGCACGCAGGCGGUCUGUUAAGUCAGAUGUGAAAUCCCCGGGCUUAACCUGGGAACUGCAUUUUGAAACUGGCAGGCUUGAGUCUUGUAGAGGGGGUAGAAUUCCAGGUGUAGCGGUGAAAUGCGUAGAGAUCUGGAGGAAUACCGGUGGCGAAGGCGGCCCCUGGGACAAAGACUGACGCUCAGGUGCGAAAGCGUGGGGAGCAAACAGGGAUUAGAUACC